RNAcentral lists this ribosomal RNA (467 nucleotides) under uncultured bacterium. RNAcentral's name for it is "bacterial SSU rRNA". It matches the Rfam family "Bacterial small subunit ribosomal RNA", at positions 355 to 825 of the family's 1533-position model. The record is from RNAcentral.
UCGGGAAUUUUGGGCAAUGGGCGCAAGCCUGAUCCAGCCAUGCCGCGUGCAGGAUGACGGUCCUAUGGAUUGUAAACUGCUUUUGUACAGGAAGAAACAGUUCUACGUGUAGAACCUUGACGGUACUGUAAGAAUAAGGAUCGGCUAACUCCGUGCCAGCAGCCGCGGUAAUACGGAGGAUCCAAGCGUUAUCCGGAAUCAUUGGGUUUAAAGGGUCCGUAGGCGGUUAGAUAAGUCAGUGGUGAAAGCCCAUCGCUCAACGGUGGAACGGCCAUUGAUACUGUCUGACUUGAAUUAUUAGGAAGUAACUAGAAUAUGUAGUGUAGCGGUGAAAUGCUUAGAGAUUACAUGGAAUACCAAUUGCGAAGGCAGGUUACUACUAAUGGAUUGACGCUGAUGGACGAAAGCGUGGGGAGCAAACAGGAUUAGAUACCCCAGUAGUCCCUGAGCGGGCUGGCAAGGCGCAU